This 417-nucleotide ribosomal RNA is filed under the name uncultured bacterium. RNAcentral's name for it is "bacterial SSU rRNA". It matches the Rfam family "Bacterial small subunit ribosomal RNA", at positions 8 to 429 of the family's 1533-position model. The record is from RNAcentral.
AGAGUUUGAUCCUGGCUCAGGACGAACGCUGGCGGCGUGCUUAACACAUGCAAGUCGAGCGGAAAGGCCCUUCGGGGUACUCGAGCGGCGAACGGGUGAGUAACACGUGAGUAACCUGCCCUUGGCUCUGGGAUAGCUCCGGGAAACCGGAAUUAAUACCGGAUAUGACUUCGGCCGACAUCGGCUGCGGUGGAAAGAUUUAUCGGCCAGGGAUGGGCUCGCGGCCUAUCAGCUUGUUGGUGGGGUAACGGCCUACCAAGGCGACGACGGGUAGCCGGCCUGAGAGGGCGACCGGCCACACUGGGACUGAGACACGGCCCAGACUCCUACGGGAGGCGGCAGUGGGGAAUAUUGCGCAAUGGGCGAAAGCCUGACGCAGCGACGCCGCGUGGGGGAUGAAGGCCUUCGGGUUGUAAA